UGGCAAGUUCCCCUGCAGUUUGGGCUGUCUCUGUGGCUGGUUCUGCGGCGUGCGGCCAGCCAUGGAGCGCUCUGGGCCCAGCGAAGUGACAGGCUCAGACGCAUCGGGACCGGACCCGCAGCUUGCGGUCACCAUGGGCUUCACGGGGUUCGGUAAAAAAGCUCGCACAUUUGACUUGGAAGCAAUGUUUGAACAAACUCGAAGAACAGCUGUGGAAAGAAGUUGCAAAACACUGGGCCACCAGGAACACACCUGUAGCCCAGCAAAGUUGAGGCCAUCAACUGGCUCAUCACAACAAGGAAGGCUGUGCACCACUGGG
This 319-nucleotide long non-coding RNA is filed under the name Homo sapiens (human). RNAcentral's name for it is "non-protein coding lnc-PRDM9-17:2". Lineage: Eukaryota; Metazoa; Chordata; Mammalia; Primates; Hominidae. The record is from RNAcentral.